RNAcentral lists this transfer RNA (70 nucleotides) under Lecanora cinereofusca. RNAcentral's name for it is "tRNA-Cys". It matches the Rfam family "tRNA". Rfam says of the family: Transfer RNA (tRNA) molecules are approximately 80 nucleotides in length. Their secondary structure includes four short double-helical elements and three loops (D, anti-codon, and T loops). The record is from RNAcentral. Lineage: Eukaryota; Fungi; Ascomycota; Lecanoromycetes; Lecanorales; Lecanoraceae.
GGACAUGCAGUACAAGGUAGUGCAGUUUGAUUGCAAAUCAUAACUAAGGAGUUCGAUUCCCCCAUGUCCC